Molecule: transfer RNA, 79 nt
Filed under: Bradyrhizobium daqingense
Lineage: Bacteria; Pseudomonadati; Pseudomonadota; Alphaproteobacteria; Hyphomicrobiales; Nitrobacteraceae
Description: tRNA-Gln
Rfam family: tRNA
About the family: Transfer RNA (tRNA) molecules are approximately 80 nucleotides in length. Their secondary structure includes four short double-helical elements and three loops (D, anti-codon, and T loops).
Source: RNAcentral
GGGCGCGUAGCCAAGUCCGGUUGAAGGCACCGGGUUUUGAUCCCGGCAUUCGCUGGUUCGAAUCCAGGCGCGCUCUCCC